RNAcentral lists this long non-coding RNA (4224 nucleotides) under Camelus dromedarius (Arabian camel). RNAcentral's name for it is "lncRNA (ENSCDRG00005005750.1)". Lineage: Eukaryota; Metazoa; Chordata; Mammalia; Artiodactyla; Camelidae. The record is from RNAcentral.
CAGCUCCUUGGUUCCAGGCUGGGCAUGGGCAGAGUUGACGGGGGGUAGCUCAGCUAUUGGUUCUGUGUUGCAGCCACGGGCAGAGCAGGCAAACGGCUCUAAAGGGACCGCCAAAGCACCGCAGCAGGGGAGGCCUUCUCAGGCCCAGCCACCACCAGGACCUGGACCUGCAGGUCUGAAGGUUGGAGCCAAGACUGGAGGGACCCCAGGAGCUCCUGCCAGCCCACCAGGAGCCGAUGGGGAGAGCGUGCUCUCCAAAAUCCUCCCUGGUGGGGCAGCAGAGCAGGCCGGCAAGCUGACGGAAGCUGUGUCUGCUUUUGGCAAAAAAUUCUCCUCCUUCUGGUGACCAUGCCCUGCAGGGCUCUUGAAGAAAUGAAGGGAGAUGAUAUUAUUGCUGUGGAAAAAUCUCUGGAGUCAGAGGCCUGGGCGCAGCUCUGGACUCUGCGUAUAACACCACCUCUCUGCAGCCUGGCCAGCCAGGCUUCUAAUGCGUUAUACGCAGAGUUUGGGCGCACGCUGCCUGUUUCUGAUGGACGCCGCCCUCCCUCCACAAUGCCAGAAGUUUUUCCACAGCCUUGGAGAGGGGCUUUGACUGAGGGCUGGGGGCCCCAGGCUCCAUUUCCUUCACAUUCCAGCUGGCCCGGAUCCCUCUGUGGCCACAGGGCCCUGCUCCCCUCACCCUGCCCUCUGGGUGACACCGGAGCAGACUUCUGUGUGACUAGCGUGGUUUUGGGAGAACUUUAAAACAUUAGGACCUAACACUGUCUCAUCGCUGAAAUAAGAGGCCAUAGCACCGAAAAGCAGUGUGGACGCCGGCUGAGGCUUCUCCCAGCCCAUGGGUGGCCGCGUGCUAGCACACCUGCCACCAUCUUCAAAGCCAUCCCCCCAGUCAUCGUGAGCAUCCCAGCGGCACCGCCAUUGUCUCAACCAGCCGGCUCCUCGUUCAUACACCUGGGGAUUUCUUUUGAUUUCAAGAACAGCCUUAAUCAUUUCGGUUUGAUUUAAGUGUAUACCUCAUGAACAUUUUUCUUUCGUUGCCCCUCCCCUUUACUCUCUUCUCUCUCUCGGCUCAGCUCCUUGCCUCUCCCCUCCACCACCACCUUGUGACUGAUGGUUUGGUUUCCUUUCUGCUCUGUCCCUGCUCAGCACAGGGAGAAUGUUGACUUAGAAGCAAUAGUGGGCAGCAGGCCACCAAGAGCACAACCCCAGGGCGGGGUCUAGGGAGGCCCCUCAGCCCGCCUCUGUUUACCGUGCAACUCCAGUCCUUCUUAAGCCAUCACCAGUGGACGUGCUCAGAGCAGAGGGGCUAGGGCUUCUGCCAGCCGACGGAAGGGCCCAGAGCCCUGCGUUGGGGAGUGUGGCACCAUCCAUCCACCCGGUGGACUGGGUGGUGGUCCUUCCCAAGGCCCUUCCCUUGGGGACCUCCCUUCAUCUUGGGCACAGCCGCAAGUCUCAUCUCUAACGUUCUAUGCAAUGAAAUAUAAACCCUCAAAGACAACUGUUAAUAUUUAAUAAAUUCCAUGUUAUGUAUAAGGAGUUAAUUGCAAACCUGCAAUUGAGAAACUGGAUAGAUAUGCUCAUAUCAAACCCCUCACCCCCCUGCCCCGCCCCACCAUGUGUGUGAAUUCUCAGUCUGUGGCAUGUUUGACCUGUGGCAGGACUCGCUGCUGCCAGGCGAGUCACCGCCUGUCCUGCAGUGGAGCAUGCACAGCUCGCAGCCCCUUUGCACGAUUUCAUCCAUUUUAAAUGCUUGACCCCUUUGCUUGGAGUUCUUUUUGUCUCAGAACCUUUCCUUCAGGAGUUCUUCUAGCUGACUUUUGCACGAGCUAGUGAGGACCCACUGAAAUUGCUGCCCAAGCAUGCCAGGCCAUAGGCCAGGCAGUGCAAGGCACCACACACCCUGCCGGUUUCUCUGAUCAAGAUGUCUCUGGAGUAGACAUGCUGUUGGGAGCCUGCACAGGAUGUGUGUGCAUGAACAUUCAGAAGGUUUGCUGUAGGAUUUCCAUCUGUAAGUCUUUCCCCCUCUUACACAAGCCCUGAGCCAGAGACAUCUGGCCACCCCUUCCUAGCGAGGCACUGCUCAAGGGCAGAGCUGGGCUGCAUCUGUAGUCAGAGAGACAGAGGCCACGGGCAGAGCCUGGCUGUGUCCUGGGACCCCAGCUCCUGACUGCACUUGCUCCCUGCCUCUCCUCUCUGGCUGGGAGGCUCAAAGGUCUGUGAUCCAGGAGAUCUAGGCUGGGGCCAGAGGGUCAGGGAGUGCUCAGGAAGAGUUGGACCUUUGGCAUUUCUGGUGAGGACAGCUGACAGUAUCAUCUUGGACUGGAGUGAGUGUUCACAUAGACAGUGGCUCAAGCUGAGUUUCUUGGGAAGCUUCUCAAUAACAAAACAUACAGAAGGUUCUGUUGUGACACUCUGCAUCUGUCCCCAAGACCCAAACUCCCUGCCAGCCCCCAUCUCUGAAGCCUAAGUAUCCCAUUGCUCAUUAGCUUCUCUACAGCUGAGCCAAGAGGGCAGCAGGUGGCAGCUGCCUGACCCCUCCAGGCCUGGCCUUCCUCCAGAGUGCUCUGGUCUGUACCAUGCAGUUCUCAGGGGUCCAUGUUUCUCAUGCUUUCCUGUAAGGUCUACACACCCUUCAGAGGGAUUCUGGCCCACCUCUGGUAGUCGUGGAUAAGAUAGGAGGCUGUCAACCCCUGUGUUGGGCCCAAGACCCUGUCCUUUGGGAUUUGGGCUUCACCCAUCCCAUGGGACACCUGCCUCAUCCCAGAGAUCAGGCUUGGGCUGGUUGAGGCCAUCUGUGUAAGGGCUGAGGGAGUCCACCAUCCAGCACCUCGGACCACCCAGGGCUCAGUCUGUAUGGAGAUGUGCCUAGUGGCUGGAUACGUUGGGGACCAAGGCAGUGAUCCUUCCCACAAAAGGCCAAGGGAUGGGGCCAGGAGCAGGGAACAGGCAGGGAGAUGACAGCAGGUCAGCCUCAAAUGUUGACUUUCCAGCAAAUCUCCUUUCUGGCCAAGCUCUCUGAUUUUGAAAUUUCUGACAUCUGCCACUCCCUACCCUGCAGUGUACCCACAGGACACAUCUGUACCCAUCACCCCUUGUGAAGGUGGCUGGAGCAGGCCUCUGGGCCGCAGGUGUCCUGGCCCUUGUGUAGAUACAGCUGUGGCUCUGGGGCCAGAGGCUGAGGGACUAGGAUUUGGUGCCUUGGGCAGUGGGGAGCAUUGAGCACAUCUCUACGUGGGCAAGGCGGUCUCUAGGAUGCACUACAGACCUUCUCCACAGCUCCCCACCCCCAGUGUCAUGAGCAAAGGCACUGCCUCCUCUGUCCACUUCAGGGCCCAGUGUAUCCACUUCACAGUGACACCUCCCUUCCCCACCAUCCACUUAGUCCUUGGGAAGAGAGUGUGGUCUCAGGGCCUAUGAUGAGAGGGCAGCAGUGGCAGCAACUAUGGCCUGUCUUCUGGAGCCUGUGGGGAGUUUUCCAGGCAGAUCCUUUGCCAUGGCAGCAGGGUCCUGGCCUGUCUGCCCCUCCCCUGCCAUCAUGCUCCCAACCCCCAUUCUGUAAAUAUGCAUCAUCAUGGACUCCAACAGGGUCAGGGGGACAGGCCUGAUGAACUGAAACUCCUCAGAGAUAUCAUUUCUGUCUCCCUGGGUAGCAGCAGCCCUGCUGCCAUGUGCACUGGGGUGGCACUGGAGAGCCAUGGAAAUUGUGAGCUAUUGUGUGUGUAUGCAUGUGAACAAGUGUGUGAGUGUGUGUGUGUGCGCGCGUGUGUGCGCACGUGUGCGCACGUCUGCCUCAUUUGGCCUCUGGGAUCAAAUCAGCUCCUUCUCUCUAAGUGCAGUGCCCUGGAGAGUGGUGGCUGCCCAACACCUUUCCUCUGCUAGCUUCCAUGUCUUGUUUUUGCUUUCCCCUCACUCCUUCCCUGACUCCCUUCUUUCUUCUCUCCUUUCUUUCCUUCUCUCCUUCUUUAUUUGAGGGGGAAAGAGUGCUGUACAAAGUCAAACAAACAAGUUUACAGUUGUAAGUGCAAUGACCCGAGUCCUCCACAUGACCUUGUGAAUUGUGUGCCGUCCUCCUGUGCUCUGUGAGAACUCGUGGUACUUGUGUCUCUCCCCCUGUAUUGUGACAAGGUAACUCUGUGGUAUCAGAAUAAAAGGACUUGAUAUAAACAACCUACAGACUGUCUCUGGGAUGGUUUCUGAAACGGGAAGGCUUAGCCAGAGGAACAA